GAUUGAAGCAUCUCCCAUGAUUCUCUUCUCCUACUUCGCUCAACAAAACCUUAAAAGCCUGUCAUUCUCCAAUCCACACCUUGGGGAUUAUGAAUAAGCAUAUCUACAAAAUGAGAAGAAUACAACUGAAUAUGUACUGCCUGUCUAUCUUUCCACAACACUACUAAACCUCCACCACGCCUUUCUCUAUCCAUAGAAAAACCUCCUUCAAAUCCCAACACCACGCGCAAUUCCUCAAUUUUG
RNAcentral lists this unclassified non-coding RNA (243 nucleotides) under Hevea brasiliensis (rubber tree). The record is from RNAcentral. Lineage: Eukaryota; Viridiplantae; Streptophyta; Magnoliopsida; Malpighiales; Euphorbiaceae.